Molecule: ribosomal RNA, 497 nt
Filed under: uncultured bacterium
Lineage: Bacteria
Description: partial 16S ribosomal RNA
Rfam family: Bacterial small subunit ribosomal RNA
Source: RNAcentral
GAUGAACGCUGGCGGCGUGCCUAAUACAUGCAAGUCGAGCGAACAGACGAGGAGCUUGCUCCUCUGACGUUAGCGGCGGACGGGUGAGUAACACGUGGAUAACCUACCUAUAAGACUGGGAUAACUUCGGGAAACCGGAGCUAAUCCCGGAUAAUAUAUUGAACCGCAUGGUUCAAUAGUGAAAGACGGUUUUGCUGGCACUUAUAGAUGGAUCCGCGCCGCAUUAGCUAGUUGGUAAGUUAACGGCUUACCAAGGCAACGAUGCGUAGCCGACCUGAGAGGGUGAUCGGCCACACUGGAACUGAGACACGGUCCAGACUCCUACGGGAGGCAGCAGUAGGGAAUCUUCCGCAAUGGGCGAAAGCCUGACGGAGCAACGCCGCGUGAGUGAUGAAGGUCUUCGGAUCGUAAAACUCUGUUAUUAGGGAAGAACAAAUGUGUAAGUAACUAUGCACGUCUUGACGGUACCUAAUCAGAAAGCCACGGCUAACUACGUG